Molecule: long non-coding RNA, 759 nt
Organism: Lathyrus oleraceus (garden pea)
Lineage: Eukaryota; Viridiplantae; Streptophyta; Magnoliopsida; Fabales; Fabaceae
Exons: 3
Source: RefSeq, a predicted model, not a curated record
GACCCGGCACCACUACUAACAUAAACCAAAAUCAAAACGCGAACCCUAGUUUGUUCUCUCAUCAUCCGUUCAUGUUCUUCCUUUAACGCAACUGAAAUUCCUUAAACAAACUUCCAUGACAGAUCUAAGGUGAAACAAAAAACACGAUUCUAAACUAAAGUCUCUUCUUUUCCCAAAACACCAAUUUCAUUCCUCUUUCAAAAAUCUGACCUUCUCCGAACCAUCACCCUUCUUACAUGAGUGAAACAAGGUUUCUAACACUUAUAGUGAACAAACUAUUGAAUCUUUGCACGGUCACGCAUCAUCAAACAAAAACGAUAAUGGAGAUGAACAAAAAACUCGGUGAAAAGUCGUAUACAACAGGAUCAAGAAAAAAAAGAGAAUACGCACAAAAAAAAGCAUGGCUAAAAGAGUAAAAUAGAGUUCAGUCGAGGAAGAGAAAUCUACCCAAUAAGGUUUACGUGAAUGUUCAGGUCCAACAAGACCAUAAGACGGGCUUUUGGUGAUGCCUGGCCUAUGAGACUUGAAGAUGAAGUAAAGUGAGUCAAAAUGGAGCAAGUUUGGCUCAUGAAGCUUGAAGAUGUAGCACACUAAACAAAUCAGGCCUCUUUUUUUUAGUUUUGUGUAGCAAGGUGUUUAGGUUCAAGAAUCCUCUAAGUUCAUGUUUUAGUUUACAUGAAGUGUGCAUAAAUUGGGAUCAUUGUAACAAAAUGUAACAUUGUAAUUUGUAAAGGAAACAAUGCAACAUUUGAAACACAA